UGCAAGUCGAACGGUAACAGGAAAAAGCUUGCUUUUUUGCUGACGAGUGGCGCACGGGUGCGUAACGCGUAUACAAUCUACCUUUUACAGGGGGAUAGCCUUUGGAAACGAAGAUUAAUACCCCAUAGUAUUUACAAUUCGCAUGUUUUGUAAAUUAAAGUUUCGGCGGUAAGAGAUGAGUAUGCGUUCUAUUAGCUAGUAGGUGUGGUAACGGCACACCUAGGCAACGAUAGAUAGGGGCCCUGAGAGGGGGAUCCCCCACACUGGUACUGAGACACGGACCAGACUCCUACGGGAGGCAGCAGUGAGGAAUAUUGGACAAUGGGCGGAAGCCUGAUCCAGCCAUGCCGCGUGCAGGAAGACUGCCCUAUGGGUUGUAAACUGCUUUUGUACGGGAAGAAACCCAUCUACGUGUAGAUGGCUGACGGUACCGUAAGAAUAAGCAUCGGCUAACUCCGUGCCAGCAGCCGCGGUAAUACGGAGGAUGCAAGCGUUAUCCGGAAUCAUUGGGUUUAAAGGGUCCGUANGUGGAUUGGUCA
This 539-nucleotide ribosomal RNA is filed under the name uncultured bacterium. RNAcentral's name for it is "bacterial SSU rRNA". It matches the Rfam family "Bacterial small subunit ribosomal RNA", at positions 56 to 586 of the family's 1533-position model. The record is from RNAcentral.